Molecule: long non-coding RNA, 2086 nt
Organism: Daphnia pulex (common water flea)
Lineage: Eukaryota; Metazoa; Arthropoda; Branchiopoda; Diplostraca; Daphniidae
Exons: 3
Source: RefSeq, a predicted model, not a curated record
GUAGGAUUAGUGGCUUGGUGAAGUUAGCUUUUUCAUGACAGUUGAAUGUCCACAUGGACUUGCUGCGGCGAGCUGGUGAAGGGUGUGGCGAGCUGUUACAUGACGAGGUUGUGCUAGUGUGGGGAAGUGCUGCAUGCUUUCUGUGGUGUUUUCAUCGUCAGAUGUACGAGCUAAUUAUGGUGUUGCUCAUGCUGUCCUGCAAGCGGUUUUGUUGCAGCCAGCUGGUGAAAAAGUCGAGUUGAGCUGCAGCUUCUUGAAGCAGUCAACAAUGCUGGUCUUUUGUUUACGACGGGAUCAUCCAUCUUCUACAUGCAGUUUUUGCUAUCAAGAAGUGGAGAAAUAAGUCUUGAAGCAAAGCUUCAAGAAAAAGAAAUGGUAAUUUGCCCGAAAUAUUAUUUGUGACUUGUUUUUUAUUGAAAUAUUGUGUUCUUUCAAAAAAUUAAUUUAAAACUGACAAAGGUAAUUAGUGAUGGGGCAUUGCUUUAUAUGCGGACCUUGUCUAUUUUAUUGUCGUCCAUUUUUCAUAAAAUAAUCGCGUGUGCUGUAGACGUUUAACCCCUCAAUUUUCACUAGCCGUUUGAGCUUAACCAAAUUCCCAAUAGCAACGUCAUGGAGAAGGGAUUGGAGCCUGUUUCUUUUCACAAUUUCACAAUUCUGAUCAUGAUAUUCAGCUGCCUUUUGCUAUCUCUUCCUCAUCGUCGUCACGCUUUGCCUCCUCUACGCCUACCGAUCCGAGAGAUGCUGUUUCGUCUGCAAGUUUAGCCAUUCUUCUAAUCUUUUUUGUGAAUUUUUUCUUCAUCAAUCCUUUUUUUUUUUGCCUGUUCUCGUUCAAGGUGGGGGUGGCUUCAAGUCGACUGAUCUGGUUAGGUAAAUAGAUCGUCAUUUCUAUCACUCCUCUCUUUCCAAUAUUGUUUUAAUCAUAAGCUCACAAAAUAACAUAAGCACAUGCAGUCCACGAGAUCAGAUAGAUGUGGUAGGGUAGUUAAAACCAACUGGCGGCCUGAUUUAUUGGGCUUAGGCAAGCUGUUUAGCUCUUACCUUCUUUUUGGUUGUUUCGUUAGUUUAGGUUUAGCGUGGGCGGGUCCGUGGGUUUUGAGAGAAAGGAAUGCCAUAUUCCUAUUUUUUGGGAGUGUUUGAUCUGGACUUCUGUCAGACACUUUUUUCAACUCUAGAUUAAAAAAAUUUAAUGGGUUGAGUUACAAGUAAAACUAAAAGAAAAGUUUGCUAUAAUAGUUCAAUUUAUUAUGGGGUUUGCAACAAGUGGUUAGUUUAAUCAUCCAUAUAUGUCAUGUUAUUAAUUUUGUCAAGUGAAACAUGUUCACAAAAAAGUCUUAAGCGAAAUAAUACUUGUUGCUUAGUGAAUUCACAAAAGUUAAAAUGAAUUUAGAACAUUUUUCAUGCGUUUCAACAGUUGGUAGAGAUUUAGCACAUUUGGAUUAACACUGAUACAAUGUUAAUCAAGUAAUUUUAUACAUAAGGUACAAAUGCAAAUUUUUCGAAUAAUGAUUUUUUCUAAUGCAGAGUUUUUCGUGGUAUUGAUUAAUGUUGAUCGACAAACCUUUGAAGAGUUAUAGGAAGUUCUUCAUAUCCUACGUUCCAAUUUCGAACAGCAACCGCAGCUAAACAAGCAAGACUGGGCACUUUGUUCAAGGUUUGGUCUAGCAGAUGGUCUAGCAGAUUGUGUAAUCCAGGAUCUGGGUAUUGCAUGCCAUUGAAGGGCUCCGUCGAUAGUUGACCUUCGAAGUUCCGUCGGUCGUGAAACUGAUGAUGAUUGUUCUCGAAAAAAAUUCGAACAGUGUUGGUGAAUUCUUUAAACCUCCUUUCAUAAUUUGCCGAAAUCGAGUAAGGCCACAUGAUGGAAUUUUUUGACUCCUUUUUCGAUAACAAAUGGAGAGGAGAAUUUCCUUCCGCGUUGACAAUAUUCGGAUUCAUUCCUGCCUGCAGCAAUAACCGUAUCAAGUCGAGAUCCUUGCUGUUGACGUCAAUUGGAUGGAAAUUUUCACAAACUUGUAAGAGAAGAUUUAAUUUUGGAUUGUUCCACACGUUAGAAACUAUAAAGCUGGCUUGUAGGGUAAGUUGCAGUAGU